GAUGAACGCUGGCGGCGUGCCUAAUACAUGCAAGUCGAACGGAGAGCUAGCAAUAGUUCUUAGUGGCGAACGGGUGAGUAACGCGUUGGUGACCUACCCCGAAGCGGGGGAUAACAGUUCGAAAGGACUGCUAAUACCCCAUAAUAUCUUGGGAAUUAGAAGACUCGAGAUGAAAGGAGCAAUUCGCUUUGGGAGGGGCCUGCGUCCCAUCAGCUAGUUGGUAGGGUAAAAGCCUACCAAGGCGACGACGGGUAGGGGACCUGAGAGGGUGAUCCCCCACACUGGCACUGAAACACGGGCCAGACACCUACGGGUGGCUG
Molecule: ribosomal RNA, 320 nt
Filed under: uncultured Chloroflexota bacterium
Lineage: Bacteria; Bacillati; Chloroflexota
Description: bacterial SSU rRNA
Rfam family: Bacterial small subunit ribosomal RNA
Source: RNAcentral